CACUACGGCCACCAACAAGCCCGAUCCCGUCUGAUCUCGGGAGUUAAGCAGGGUCGGGCCUGGUGAGUACUUGGAUGGGAGACCACCGAGGAAGACCGGGUGCCGUAGGCG
This 111-nucleotide ribosomal RNA is filed under the name Pteropus alecto (black flying fox). Lineage: Eukaryota; Metazoa; Chordata; Mammalia; Chiroptera; Pteropodidae. The record is from RNAcentral.